UAAAAACCCCGACUUCGGAAGGGGUGUAUUUAUUAGAUACAAAACCAAUGCCCUUCGGGGCUCUUUGGUGAUUCAUGAUAACUAUACGAAUCGCACGGCCUUGCGCCGGCGAUGGUUCAUUCAAAUUUCUUCCCUAUCAACUUUCGAUGUUUGGGUAUUGGCCAAACAUGGUUGCAACGGGUAACGGAGGGUUAGGGCUCGACCCCGGAGAAGGAGCCUGAGAAACGGCUACUACAUCCAAGGAAGGCAGCAGGCGCGCAAAUUACCCAAUCCCGACUCGGGGAGGUAGUGACAAUAAAUACUGAUACGGGGCCCUUUCGGGCCUUGUAAUUGGAAUGAGUUCAAUUUAAAUCCCUUAUCGAAGAACAAAUGGAGGGCAAGUCAGGUGCCAACAGCCGCGGUAAUAGCUACUCCAAAAGCAUAUAAACAAGAAGUAGCGGAUUGUAGAAGGUAAUAAAAAUAAUAAAUAGAAUGGUAGAAAUUUUUUUUCUUCACGAAAAUUGUAAUAAAUUUAGCAAGAAAACCAAUAAAAUUAAAAAAUGAUAACAAAAAAAAAGAUAUAUAUAUAGGUAAAGG
RNAcentral lists this ribosomal RNA (576 nucleotides) under uncultured eukaryote. RNAcentral's name for it is "partial 18S ribosomal RNA". The stretch from base 1 to 425 matches the Rfam family "Eukaryotic small subunit ribosomal RNA", at positions 174 to 603 of the family's 1831-position model. The record is from RNAcentral.